CCUACGGGAGGCAGCAGUGAGGAAUAUUGGUCAAUGGGCGGAAGCCUGAACCAGCCAAGUAGCGUGCAGGAAGAAGGAUCUAUGGGUUGUAAACUUCUUUUAUAGGGGAAUCAAGGUAUCCACGUGUGGAUAUUUGCAUGUACCCUAUGAAUAAGCAUCGGCUAACUCCGUGCCAGCAGCCGCGGUAAUACGGAGGAUGCGAGCGUUAUCCGGAUGUAUUGGGGUUAAAGGGUGCGUAGGUUGUUUUUUAAGUCAGCGGUGAAAGUUUGUGGCUCAACCAUAAAAUUGCCGUUGAAACUGGAAGACUUGAGUGUGUUUGAGGUAGGCGGAAUGCGUGGUGUAGCGGUGAAAUGCAUAGAUAUCACGCAGAACUCCGAUUGCGAAGGCAGCUUACUAAGCCAUAACUGACACUGAAGCACGAAAGCGUGGGGAUCAAACAGGAUUAGAUACCCGGGUAGUC
This 460-nucleotide ribosomal RNA is filed under the name uncultured bacterium. RNAcentral's name for it is "partial 16S ribosomal RNA". It matches the Rfam family "Bacterial small subunit ribosomal RNA", at positions 338 to 795 of the family's 1533-position model. The record is from RNAcentral.